This 253-nucleotide ribosomal RNA is filed under the name uncultured bacterium. RNAcentral's name for it is "partial 16S ribosomal RNA". It matches the Rfam family "Bacterial small subunit ribosomal RNA", at positions 524 to 776 of the family's 1533-position model. The record is from RNAcentral.
UACGUAGGGGGCAAGCGUUAUCCGGAUUUACUGGGUGUAAAGGGAGCGUAGACGGCGAGGCAAGUCUGAUGUGAAAGGCCGGGGCUCAACCCCGGGACUGCAUUGGAAACUGUUUUGCUUGAGUGCCGGAGAGGUAAGCGGAAUUCCUAGUGUAGCGGUGAAAUGCGUAGAUAUUAGGAGGAACACCAGUGGCGAAGGCGGCUUACUGGACGGCAACUGACGUUGAGGCUCGAAAGCGUGGGGAGCAAACAGG